RNAcentral lists this ribosomal RNA (492 nucleotides) under uncultured bacterium. RNAcentral describes it as "partial 16S ribosomal RNA". It matches the Rfam family "Bacterial small subunit ribosomal RNA", at positions 29 to 507 of the family's 1533-position model. The record is from RNAcentral.
AGUGAACGCUGGCGGUAGGCCUAACACAUGCAAGUCGAACGGCAGCACAGUAAGAGCUUGCUCUUACGGGUGGCGAGUGGCGGACGGGUGAGGAAUACAUCGGAAUCUACUUUUUCGUGGGGGAUAACGUAGGGAAACUUCCGCUAAUACCGCAUACGACCUACGGCUUAAAUCAGGGGAUCUUCGCACCUUGCGCGAUUGAAUGAGCCGAUGUCGGAUUAGCUAGUUGGCUGGGUAAAGGCCCACCAUGGCGACGAUCCGUAGCUGGUCUGAGAGGAUGAUCAGCCACACUGGAACUGAGGCACGGUCCAGACUCCUACGGGAGGCAGCAGUGGGGAAUAUUGGACAAUGGGCGCAAGCCUGAUCCAGCCAUACCGCGUGGGUGAAGAAGGCCUUCGGGUUGUAAAGCCCUUUUGUUGGGAAAGAAAAGCAGCAGGUUAAUACCCCGCUGUUCUGACGGUACCCAAAGAAUAAGCACCGGCUAACUUCGUG